This is a long non-coding RNA of Erigeron canadensis, 373 nucleotides long. RefSeq lists it as uncharacterized. Lineage: Eukaryota; Viridiplantae; Streptophyta; Magnoliopsida; Asterales; Asteraceae. The record is from RefSeq and is a predicted model, not a curated record. The transcript has 3 exons.
CACUACUCUAUAUUGUCAAUUCGUUACAACAUUCGUGUAAAUGGCAAAGCAAAAGAUUGUGGUGAAGGUGACCAUGAACUGCCCGAAGUAACGUAGUAAGGCUUUGAAGAUUGUAGUUAGUCUUUUUGGAGUCGAGUCCGUGUCUUUUGUUGGAUCAGAUAAAGACCGGAUAGAAGUGACUGGUGAAGAGAUGAACUCGAUUGACCUAACAAAGUUGCUAAGGGAAGGUGUUGGAUUCACCGAGCUGGUUAGUGUUGGUCCAGUGGAAGAGAAGGCCAAGGAAACGAAGCCAACAAUUGUCCCUUGGCAAAUGAAUCCGUACGGGUACUAUUUUAAUGGCUAUGGCAUGCCCCACUACUAUUAAUGGAGUAUA